Molecule: ribosomal RNA, 468 nt
Filed under: uncultured bacterium
Lineage: Bacteria
Description: partial 16S ribosomal RNA
Rfam family: Bacterial small subunit ribosomal RNA
Source: RNAcentral
GGGGGGGGGGGGGGGGGGGGGGGGCGGGUGCAGGGCGGGCGGGGGGGGGGGGGGGGGGGGGGGUUAGGGGCGGGCGGGGGGGUAGCACGGGAGCAACCUGCCCCUGACUUCGGGAUAACCGCGGGAAACCGUGGCUAAUACCGGAUAUGACGCGCGAUCGCAUGGUGGUGUGUGGAAAGAUUUAUCGGUUGGGGAUGGGCUCGCGGCCUAUCAGCUUGUUGGUGGGGUGAUGGCCUACCAAGGCGACGACGGGUAGCCGGCCUGAGAGGGUGACCGGCCACACUGGGACUGAGACACGGCACAGACUCCUACGGGAGGCAGCAGUGGGGAAUAUUGCACAAUGGGCGCAAGCCUGAUGCAGCGACGCCGCGUGAGGGAUGACGGCCUUCGGGUUGUAAACCUCUUUCAGUAGGGAAGAAGGCCUUCGGGUUGACGGUACCUGCAGAAGAAGCGCCGGCUAACUACGUG